GACGCCGUCGAAGCGACGGGACAUUUUUAGGAUGGACUGACUAUACUAAAUGGAGUAGCCGAGGUGAUUCAACCUCACCACAUCAAGCCAGUUGGAGCAGAACAGAACGGAAACGGAUCGUUCCCGCGGGAACUCUUACGGUGUGGGCAGUUUCAUGGAAGGUGAAAGUUGUCGUCCGCCUGAGAACAGCAAAAUAAAC
Long non-coding RNA from Rhipicephalus sanguineus (brown dog tick), 199 nucleotides. RefSeq lists it as uncharacterized. The record is from RefSeq and is a predicted model, not a curated record. The transcript is spliced from 3 exons. NCBI's taxonomy places the organism in Eukaryota, Metazoa, Arthropoda, Arachnida, Ixodida, Ixodidae.